UACGUAGGGGGCUAGCGUUGUCCGGAAUCAUUGGGCGUAAAGCGCGUGUAGGCGGUCCGGUAAGUCCGCUGUGAAAGUCGGGGGCUCAACCCUCGGAUGCCGGUGGAUACUGUCGGGCUCGAGUACGGAAGAGGCGAGUGGAAUUCCUGGUGUAGCGGUGAAAUGCGCAGAUAUCAGGAGGAACACCAAUUGCGAAGGCAGCUCGCUGGGACGUCACUGACGCUGAGACGCGAAAGCGUGGGGAGCGAACAGG
RNAcentral lists this ribosomal RNA (253 nucleotides) under uncultured bacterium. Its description in RNAcentral is "partial 16S ribosomal RNA". It matches the Rfam family "Bacterial small subunit ribosomal RNA", at positions 524 to 776 of the family's 1533-position model. The record is from RNAcentral.